UACUUUUCAACGAAUCUAGCUGAGUAACGGGUAUCAGAUAGUCGGGGAACUCGACUAUAGCGUUCUCUCUUGUUUUUCAGUUUAAAUUCAUGUCGUAAUUAAAUGGCUUUUGUUUUUUAGAUAACCCCAUUUUUAUUUGUUUUGAUGACGCGCAAAUCGGAGCUAUGUUAUCAGCAUUUAUUUACAUUCAUAGACUUCAAUUAUUUCGGAUUAUGAAAUAGCCAUGCGUAACGCAUUAAAAAACCUGCACCCCUCCAUGCAUUUCUAUGCUUGCUGGUUUCAUUUUACUCAAGCAUUCAAGAGAAAUACAAAGAAAAUAAGUGGCUUCGAAUAUAUGCUUAAUUUCAAUAAGCAAGCGAAUAUUUUGUUUAUAAAAUUAAAACAAAAACAAAUAAAAUGGCUUAAAAAUGUAUUUCUUAAAAUUGUUGUUGAUACAAAUUUAUUGUUACUUAAAAUUUUGUUCGUUUAUUUGAAUCAAUUAUCUUUUAAUCAUCUUUGUAUACAGGAAGGACCCAAAAACAUAUCAGUUUUCAAACGUUCGACGAGAACCACGGGCUCCUUUGAAGCCUAUAAUUUGAAUUUUGGUAAUUUUUUCAAAUUUGUUGAGUUUUUAAUUGAUGCGGAGUAUGAAAAAAGUCGCGAUUUCGCUCUACUUUAUCAAAACGGUGGAAUUGGCAAUCAGUCACAACCAAAGCACCUACAUGUAAGUUUAAACAAUAUGCAAUAAAAUUGCAUCUUCUGCAUACGUUUCUUAGCCUCCGAAUGUAUUAUCUCAAAAGAGUCUGGACGGUUGAACAUGAUGGACCUAUCGUCGAGAAAAUUAAACUUCCUGAGGAGAGAAUAAGUUGAACCCGAGGUAACCAUAUACCGUAGAUCAUAUAGUAGGGAGAGGUUCCAAUACUAGAAUGCACCGAAGAACGUAAAGCACAACAAAUCCUGCUCAAGUAUUCAUCCAAAUCCUUCUGGUCAGAACGUACGUAAGCCCUAAUUCCUGAGAUGACUGAACGAUUAACACGUUCUGAAGCGUUAGCUUGCGGGGAUGCACUGCUUCGGGAGCGCAGGUAGGGCCAAGAAAAUCAAACAAAAAACGUUGGAAAAACCGCUGUGUCUCUGGAGCUCUUCCUAACGGAGGUCUAAGAGAGGAGUUCGUCGGCUUUGUGGAUUUGCACACCUCGCAAGCGAUGACACACAACACCGGUGCUUCCGUGAGACACUUCUUUAGCUCAUGAAAAGCCUUAAUUGCUUCCGGGGUUAGACUGAAUUUUCGCUUUGUAGUCAUUAAAUCGGUCAAUGGAGCAGACAAAGCAGCGAAACUUAAAACAAACUUUCUAUACCAACCGCAAAGGCCCAUGAAACUUCUAAGUCCUCGCAAGGUUUUAGGAAUCGGAAAAUUAGUGAUCGCUGCUACUUUUUCAGGAUCUGUGCGUAUCCCGCCGUCCCCAAUGAUAUAGCCCAAAUAUCGAACUUGCUUCAUACAAAAAUGGCUCUUACCGGCGUUAAUUGUCAGUCCUGCUCCCCUUAUGUGUUAAGCCAGCUCUCUGAGUACCUCUAAAUGCGUCUCAAAGCUUGAAGAAACAAUCAACAAGUCGUCUAAAUAAACGAAAACUUAAUUUCGAUAAUGCAGUGGUACAAUUUUGUCCAUCGGUCUAGACAUAAUGCUUGUCGCAUUACAAAGGCCAAAUUGGUAGAGCGGUCUACCUGGGACAGUAAAGGCCGUCUUAUCACGAAAAUUUACCUAUAAGGGCACCUGGCAAUAGGCAUCCUUUAAAUCUAAGCUGGUUAUAAAUUCUGCCUUAGGAAGUCGACUUAAAAUCCCGCUAAUCUGAGGCAAAGGAUAUGCGUCCUUUUUGGUAAAACUAUAAAACUAGACAAAUACGAACUUUUCCAGGCUUCGUUAUCAUCACUAUAGGUGAAGACCAAGCACUUUGUGACUCUUCUUUCACACCCAACUACAACAUUCUGUCUAUUUCCGUAUACAUACUCUUUUCCACGGCAGGUGAUACCGGGAAAUGACGUUGUUUUAUAGGUUUUGCAUUACCCACGUCAAUGGAAUGUGAGAUUAGGCUGGUUUUACCCAGCUCUUCUUUUGUAAAAGAGGGAAAGCAAUCGAUUAAGUUCCUUAGCUUUGCACUCUAAACGUCGGAUAACACAUGCGUAUCCACACUGAUGUCGCUGGACUUAUGAUCAAAAACAACUACCUCCUCUAUCGCUGCCUCCAGAAGUCUAUUUCCAUUCCCAGCCUCCAAUUCAGAUGCGAAACCGCCUUCUACACAACUUAUAGACGCUCCCGAAUCGAGCAGGCCAACUGGAAUAAAAGGUCGAGGAACCCUGGCUAUAUGAGGAUUGGCACAAAUGGAAUCUAGGUCGUGUUUGCACCGUUUUCCGCUUUGCCAAAAGAUUUUUAUGCGCCUUGAACUACGAGUUUUGCGCUUCCGUAAGUCCGGUAAAUAAUUUAUCUUUGGUAUAUCCGGUAUUUCUUCUAAUGUAGGAAUCUUUUGAUGAAGCAGGGAAAUAUUUUGACUAGCUGCUACAUCUAAUAAGGUGGGGUUAUCGACUUUACACGAUAUCCCAGUUAAUCCGUCGUUGUUGACUGAGUUCUUAAGGCACUCGAAGGCGUCGGUCUGAACUGCAACCUCGACGUGCCGACUUUGGAGUUAUGCACAUUUAACACAACUUGGCUUGUAUGUGUUGGGAACUCCACAACCUUAACAAAAAACUUCCCGUUCUGCUAAACAGUCCUGGUAUCUGUGGCCUUCUUUCCUACAGUUCCAGCAUAUUAGAGAGAAGGCAUCAAUUCCUAGCUCAAUCUCAGCCACAAAAUUAUUAUCCUCUUCUAAAUCUUGAGUUAUCUCUGAGAUCUCACGCCUAAACGGACUGGACUUUGCAUAUCCAUGAGUUUUCUUCACUUCAUCUAAGAAGACCUCGCGUCUUCUGCAAGUUUCUCUUAACUCUGACACUGUUUGAAUCUCGACGUUAAGAAUCUUUAAAACACGAACAAGCUUACGUGCAGACAAUGAACUUCCAGCUGAUCAACUAAUGCCGAUAUGCUAUCGUAAUAGCAGUCUUUUGGGUGAGGGGUUGGCUGGCCUGGAAUUUUGCAAUUAUGCGGAAAUAUAAACACUCAAACAGGCGAACACUUGACUUUUCGUAAUUGCGCGGGCGCGACCGGGCGUAAUGUUUAUUCGGCGAAUACUAAUUAGACACUAAAGCUUAUUCUAAUUAGCUAAGCCCUCCCGAGCGCAGCGGAGACUCCAAUUUAAGCUGCCACGGGGAGAGUAGCAUUGGAGAUUCUGUCGUGAAGAGCGAUAGAGAGAGAGGGAGCGGAGAGCGGGUGACAGUCCUCGCCCCGUAACCUGGACAUUCCGCCCCCCUUGCAAUCACUGGGGUUGCAACAUAUCCAUCCUAAGGCAUGCUGCAGGCACCGGACACGAUCUACCCAAAAACUGUUUUCUGGGCGACCGGCAUUCCCUCGUCGUAGGUCAGGAAUCCGGAUUGGAUGAUUUUUUGAUAAACAUCUGCUCCCAGGACCAUGGAGACGGUAGCUGGCUUGGAACUGGUCAUCAGCCAGCAUGGCAUACCGACAUAUGUCCUCGCGACAUAUCUCCUCCCAGUACAUUUUCGUGUAGGAGCUAGCUCCGCGCGGAGAUGUGACGCUUUCAAAACGACAUAUCUCCUCCGAGCUCAAAAAAAUUUCGGGAGGAGAUAUGACGCUUUCAAAACGAACUCAAAAUGACAUAUCUCCUAGCGGUGAUAUAUAUUAUGUAUAUGAUAUUUUAGUAUAUAUAUAUAAAUAUAUAUAUAUAUAUUUUUUUUUAUAUAUGGUAUAUAUAUGUAUGUACAUAUGUACAUUGUAUGUAUAUGAUCAUUUGCAAAGAAAGACACGCGCCAAAAGUGCGCUUUUCUAAGUACGUACAUGUAUAAAUGCGCAUAAAUACACGUUAAAAUUUUUUUUUUUAAUUUUACAUUUAAGUAUGUUAUUAUAUAUUAUUAUUUUAUACAAAUUCUUGUUUGGUCAGUAUGUAUAUUCUUUAAAUAGUUUUUAGGUUGCAUUCUGUUGUGGGUUUAAAAAUAUGAUUAUUCUUAAUAAAUACUUAAAGUUGUAUACAAAUAUUUUUUUCUGUGUAAACGUCAGUAUGACUUGGCGCCACUGAUCUUCUUUACUUUGCGACUACAGCCGAGCCGGGUGCUCCACAUUAUUGUAUACGCCAGAUGACAAUCAGAUCUAUGUUAAAAAUAGACAAUUAAAAGAAGGUGACAUCGCGUACGUGUGUCGUAUCAAAGACUGCAAAGCUCGGGUUUAUCUAAGUGCGGAUAAGACUCGCGUUUAUUCGAAGACGGAGCAAGUGCAGCAUUUUCAUUGUCCGCAGGGCCAGGAAAUGCAGAAAAUUGAAGUGCUGUUGUCAUGAGUCGUUUUGGGAUGACCAAGGGAAGUUCUCCGAAUGUUUUUUUUAAAAAACUUUACACGUCUGGAUCAUUUGCAUAUUGCAUAUUUUCGUCGGACAAGGUCAUUACUUUGAUGCAAGCAAAUAUUGAGGAGCAGAGUCGGCAUUUUUUAAUUGAUGCUACAUUCAAAGUAUGCCCGUUUGGAGAUUUUAAGCAACUACUUAUUAUUUACAUAAAGCAUAUGCAGAAGGUAUGUGUUUUACUUCAGUUAAAUUUAAUGUCAAAAUUAAUUUGUUUUUAUUAUUAUGUAGAUCACCCCAUUCUUAUUUGUCUUAAUGACGCGCAAAACGGAGCUCUGUUAUCAGCAUUUAUUUACCUAUGUAGAUUCAAACUGACGGGAAAUGACGUUGUUUUAUAGGUUUUGCAUUACCCACGUCAAUGGAAUGUGAGAUUAGGCUGGUUUUACCCAGCUCUUCUUUUGUAAAAGAGGGAAAGCAAUCGAUUAAGUUCCUUAGCUUUGCACUCUAAACGUCGGAUAACACAUGCGUAUCCACACUGAUGUCGCUGGACUUAUGAUCAAAAACAACUACCUCCUCUAUCGCUGCCUCCAGAAGUCUAUUUCCAUUCCCAGCCUCCAAUUCAGAUGCGAAACCGCCUUCUACACAACUUAUAGACGCUCCCGAAUCGAGCAGGCCAACUGGAAUAAAAGGUCGAGGAACCCUGGCUAUAUGAGGAUUGGCACAAAUGGAAUCUAGGUCGUGUUUGCACCGUUUUCCGCUUUGCCAAAAGAUUUUUAUGCGCCUUGAACUACGAGUUUUGCGCUUCCGUAAGUCCGGUAAAUAAUUUAUCUUUGGUAUAUCCGGUAUUUCUUCUAAUGUAGGAAUCUUUUGAUGAAGCAGGGAAAUAUUUUGACUAGCUGCUACAUCUAAUAAGGUGGGGUUAUCGACUUUACACGAUAUCCCAGUUAAUCCGUCGUUGUUGACUGAGUUCUUAAGGCACUCGAAGGCGUCGGUCUGAACUGCAACCUCGACGUGCCGACUUUGGAGUUAUGCACAUUUAACACAACUUGGCUUGUAUGUGUUGGGAACUCCACAACCUUAACAAAAAACUUCCCGUUCUGCUAAACAGUCCUGGUAUCUGUGGCCUUCUUUCCUACAGUUCCAGCAUAUUAGAGAGAAGGCAUCAAUUCCUAGCUCUAUCUCAGCCACAAAAUUAUUAUCCUCUUCUAAAUCUUGAGUUAUCUCUGAGAUCUCACGCCUAAACGGACUGGACUUUGCAUAUCCAUGAGUUUUCUUCACUUCAUCUAAGAAGACCUCGCGUCUUCUGCAAGUUUCUCUUAACUCUGACACUGUUUGAAUCUCGACGUUAAGAAUCUUUAAAACACGAACAAGCUUACGUGCAGACAAUGAACUUCCAGCUGAUCAACUAAUGCCGAUAUGCUAUCGUAAUAGCAGUCUUUUGGGUGAGGGGUUGGCUGGCCUGGAAUUUUGCAAUUAUGCGGAAAUAUAAACACUCAAACAGGCGAACACUUGACUUUUCGUAAUUGCGCGGGCGCGACCGGGCGUAAUGUUUAUUCGGCGAAUACUAAUUAGACACUAAAGCUUAUUCUAAUUAGCUAAGCCCUCCCGAGCGCAGCGGAGACUCCAAUUUAAGCUGCCACGGGGAGAGUAGCAUUGGAGAUUCUGUCGUGAAGAGCGAUAGAGAGAGAGGGAGCGGAGAGCGGGUGACAGUCCUCGCCCCGUAACCUGGACAUUCCGCCCCCCUUGCAAUCACUGGGGUUGCAACAUAUCCAUCCUAAGGCAUGCUGCAGGCACCGGACACGAUCUACCCAAAAACUGUUUUCUGGGCGACCGGCAUUCCCUCGUCGUAGGUCAGGAAUCCGGAUUGGAUGAUUUUUUGAUAAACAUCUGCUCCCAGGACCAUGGAGACGGUAGCUGGCUUGGAACUGGUCAUCAGCCAGCAUGGCAUACCGACAUAUGUCCUCGCGACAUAUCUCCUCCCAGUACAUUUUCGUGUAGGAGCUAGCUCCGCGCGGAGAUGUGACGCUUUCAAAACGACAUAUCUCCUCCGAGCUCAAAAAAAUUUCGGGAGGAGAUAUGACGCUUUCAAAACGAACUCAAAAUGACAUAUCUCCUAGCGGUGAUAUAUAUUAUGUAUAUGAUAUUUUAGUAUAUAUAUAUAAAUAUAUAUAUAUAUAUUUUUUUUAUAUAUGGUAUAUAUAUGUAUGUACAUAUGUACAUUGUAUGUAUAUGAUCAUUUGCAAAGAAAGACACGCGCCAAAAGUGCGCUUUUCUAAGUACGUACAUGUAUAAAUGCGCAUAAAUACACGUUAAAAUUUUUUUUUUUAAUUUUACAUUUAAGUAUGUUAUUAUAUAUUAUUAUUUUAUACAAAUUCUUGUUUGGUCAGUAUGUACAUUCUUUAAAUAGUUUUUAGGUUGCAUUCUGUUGUGGGUUUAAAAAUAUGAUUAUUCUUAAUAAAUACUUAAAGUUGUAUACAAAUAUUUUUUUCUGUGUAAACGUCAGUAUGACUUGGCGCCACUGAUCUUCUUUACUUUGCGACUACAGCCGAGCCGGGUGCUCCACAUUAUUGUAUACGCCAGAUGACAAUCAGAUCUAUGUUAAAAAUAGACAAUUAAAAGAAGGUGACAUCGCGUACGUGUGUCGUAUCAAAGACUGCAAAGCUCGGGUUUAUCUAAGUGCGGAUAAGACUCGCGUUUAUUCGAAGACGGAGCAAGUGCAGCAUUUUCAUUGUCCGCAGGGCCAGGAAAUGCAGAAAAUUGAAGUGCUGUUGUCAUGAGUCGUUUUGGGAUGACCAAGGGAAGUUCUCCGAAUGUUUUUUUUAAAAAACUUUACACGUCUGGAUCAUUUGCAUAUUGCAUAUUUUCGUCGGACAAGGUCAUUACUUUGAUGCAAGCAAAUAUUGAGGAGCAGAGUCGGCAUUUUUUAAUUGAUGCUACAUUCAAAGUAUGCCCGUUUGGAGAUUUUAAGCAACUACUUAUUAUUUACAUAAAGCAUAUGCAGAAGAUCACCCCAUUCUUAUUUGUCUUAAUGACGCGCAAAACGGAGCUCUGUUAUCAGCAUUUAUUUACCUAUGUAGAUUCAAACUGACGGGAAAUGACGUUGUUUUAUAGGUUUUGCAUUACCCACGUCAAUGGAAUGUGAGAUUAGGCUGGUUUUACCCAGCUCUUCUUUUGUAAAAGAGGGAAAGCAAUCGAUUAAGUUCCUUAGCUUUGCACUCUAAACGUCGGAUAACACAUGCGUAUCCACACUGAUGUCGCUGGACUUAUGAUCAAAAACAACUACCUCCUCUAUCGCUGCCUCCAGAAGUCUAUUUCCAUUCCCAGCCUCCAAUUCAGAUGCGAAACCGCCUUCUACACAACUUAUAGACGCUCCCGAAUCGAGCAGGCCAACUGGAAUAAAAGGUCGAGGAACCCUGGCUAUAUGAGGAUUGGCACAAAUGGAAUCUAGGUCGUGUUUGCACCGUUUUCCGCUUUGCCAAAAGAUUUUUAUGCGCCUUGAACUACGAGUUUUGCGCUUCCGUAAGUCCGGUAAAUAAUUUAUCUUUGGUAUAUCCGGUAUUUCUUCUAAUGUAGGAAUCUUUUGAUGAAGCAGGGAAAUAUUUUGACUAGCUGCUACAUCUAAUAAGGUGGGGUUAUCGACUUUACACGAUAUCCCAGUUAAUCCGUCGUUGUUGACUGAGUUCUUAAGGCACUCGAAGGCGUCGGUCUGAACUGCAACCUCGACGUGCCGACUUUGGAGUUAUGCACAUUUAACACAACUUGGCUUGUAUGUGUUGGGAACUCCACAACCUUAACAAAAAACUUCCCGUUCUGCUAAACAGUCCUGGUAUCUGUGGCCUUCUUUCCUACAGUUCCAGCAUAUUAGAGAGAAGGCAUCAAUUCCUAGCUCUAUCUCAGCCACAAAAUUAUUAUCCUCUUCUAAAUCUUGAGUUAUCUCUGAGAUCUCACGCCUAAACGGACUGGACUUUGCAUAUCCAUGAGUUUUCUUCACUUCAUCUAAGAAGACCUCGCGUCUUCUGCAAGUUUCUCUUAACUCUGACACUGUUUGAAUCUCGACGUUAAGAAUCUUUAAAACACGAACAAGCUUACGUGCAGACAAUGAACUUCCAGCUGAUCAACUAAUGCCGAUAUGCUAUCGUAAUAGCAGUCUUUUGGGUGAGGGGUUGGCUGGCCUGGAAUUUUGCAAUUAUGCGGAAAUAUAAACACUCAAACAGGCGAACACUUGACUUUUCGUAAUUGCGCGGGCGCGACCGGGCGUAAUGUUUAUUCGGCGAAUACUAAUUAGACACUAAAGCUUAUUCUAAUUAGCUAAGCCCUCCCGAGCGCAGCGGAGACUCCAAUUUAAGCUGCCACGGGGAGAGUAGCAUUGGAGAUUCUGUCGUGAAGAGCGAUAGAGAGAGAGGGAGCGGAGAGCGGGUGACAGUCCUCGCCCCGUAACCUGGACAUUCCGCCCCCCUUGCAAUCACUGGGGUUGCAACAUAUCCAUCCUAAGGCAUGCUGCAGGCACCGGACACGAUCUACCCAAAAACUGUUUUCUGGGCGACCGGCAUUCCCUCGUCGUAGGUCAGGAAUCCGGAUUGGAUGAUUUUUUGAUAAACAUCUGCUCCCAGGACCAUGGAGACGGUAGCUGGCUUGGAACUGGUCAUCAGCCAGCAUGGCAUACCGACAUAUGUCCUCGCGACAUAUCUCCUCCCAGUACAUUUUCGUGUAGGAGCUAGCUCCGCGCGGAGAUGUGACGCUUUCAAAACGACAUAUCUCCUCCGAGCUCAAAAAAAUUUCGGGAGGAGAUAUGACGCUUUCAAAACGAACUCAAAAUGACAUAUCUCCUAGCGGUGAUAUAUAUUAUGUAUAUGAUAUUUUAGUAUAUAUAUAUAAAUAUAUAUAUAUAUAUUUUUUUUUAUAUAUGGUAUAUAUAUGUAUGUACAUAUGUACAUUGUAUGUAUAUGAUCAUUUGCAAAGAAAGACACGCGCCAAAAGUGCGCUUUUCUAAGUACGUACAUGUAUAAAUGCGCAUAAAUACACGUUAAAAUUUUUUUUUUUAAUUUUACAUUUAAGUAUGUUAUUAUAUAUUAUUAUUUUAUACAAAUUCUUGUUUGGUCAGUAUGUAUAUUCUUUAAAUAGUUUUUAGGUUGCAUUCUGUUGUGGGUUUAAAAAUAUGAUUAUUCUUAAUAAAUACUUAAAGUUGUAUACAAAUAUUUUUUUCUGUGUAAACGUCAGUAUGACUUGGCGCCACUGAUCUUCUUUACUUUGCGACUACAGCCGAGCCGGGUGCUCCACAUUAUUGUAUACGCCAGAUGACAAUCAGAUCUAUGUUAAAAAUAGACAAUUAAAAGAAGGUGACAUCGCGUACGUGUGUCGUAUCAAAGACUGCAAAGCUCGGGUUUAUCUAAGUGCGGAUAAGACUCGCGUUUAUUCGAAGACGGAGCAAGUGCAGCAUUUUCAUUGUCCGCAGGGCCAGGAAAUGCAGAAAAUUGAAGUGCUGUCUGAAGUUAAAAAAAAGUGUCAAAGUAGCUCCAAUAAUGACACCAAAAAAGUUUUUAAUGAUGUUUUGGCUGAAAAAACGGAAGGACAAGCGGAGAUCGAAGUCAAUUACGACACUGUCAAACGCACUCUGCAAAGAAAAAGGCAACCCUUUCUACCCAAAUCUCCAACUUCCGCAGUGGACGUACUUGAAGCACUUAAAGAUUAAAACAUCAUGAGUCGUUUUGGGAUGACCAAGGGAAGUUCUCCGAAUGUUUUUUUUAAAAAACUUUACACGUCUGGAUCAUUUGCAUAUUGCAUAUUUUCGUCGGACAAGGUCAUUACUUUGAUGCAAGCAAAUAUUGAGGAGCAGAGUCGGCAUUUUUUAAUUGAUGCUACAUUCAAAGUAUGCCCGUUUGGAGAUUUUAAGCAACUACUUAUUAUUUACAUAAAGCAUAUGCAGAAGGUAUGUGUUUUACUUCAGUUAAAUUUAAUGUCAAAAUUAAUUUGUUUUUAUUAUUAUGUAGAUCACCCCAUUCUUAUUUGUCUUAAUGACGCGCAAAACGGAGCUCUGUUAUCAGCAUUUAUUUACCUAUGUAGAUUCAAACUGUUCCGACCUAAACUCUUCCACAUCAUCGUCAUCAAGUUCAUCAAAUUUAAGCCAACUCUCGGAUUCGUUAUUUAUACAACAAAAUCCUUGUAAUGUAUGCUUAAUGAAUCCGAAAUCUGUAAUGCUUCGCCCCUGUAACCAUGUCAACAUAUGUAGUACAUGCUGGGACCAACUUGUCGAUAACCACGAACAAAAUGGAAUUUAAACUAAUCCAAAAUGCCCGACCUGCCAACAGGAAGUCGAAGAGGCUAUAAAAAUGUAUAUAUAUAUAACUAAAUAAAUUUAAACAAUGUAAUAGCAACAGAACAUACCUCCUAGCGGAGAUAUGUCGUUUUGAAAACACCGGUUGGAGACGAGAGCGCGCUCGCCUGCUUCCCAAAGGCCUCCCAUAUGGUGUGCCCCCGGAGGAAUAAAUUGCCAUUGCAUCUCUUGAUGACUAUAGGCAUUCAUCACCGACUCUUUUGAGUGAUGCCGGCCACGGCAAGUAAAACAAUUGUGCGUGCUUUUGCACUCACGAAGCUGAUGUCCCUUUGCAAAGCAGUUGAAGCAUAACUGCUUCCGUUUAAUGUAGGCUGGCCGGUCGUCAACCGACAUCUGGAGAGAACGAGUACAUACACGGACGGGAUGGUUUUCCUGUUGCACAAGUCGCAACUUUUGGAUAUUGGAUCCACUUUCGUCUCGUAGGAACUUAUUUUUCUAGAGGACCCACUUGAAUUCAUCGCUUUUGAGUGCGACUGACUUGGUACGGUCAGUCUCACAUCAUCGAUGGCCUCUAGGGUUCGAUGGCGUUCUGUGAGGAAGGUGUUCAGUUCUACCCAUGUCGGGAUGUCAACGUUCUUAUGGAGCGACUGCUCCCAUAAGGAGGGAGUUAUUUUCGGGAGCUUGGAUGAACACAGAUAUACCAGCAGGUAAUCCCUGUUCUCAAUGUUGAUGCCUGACAUUUCCAAGGCAGUCAAGCAACCUUGAACAGUACUUUGCAGAACCUUCAAGGCCGCCCCAGAUUCCUGUGGUAUCGACUGCACAUUAAAAAGGAUUUUCAAUUGACUGUUUACCAACUAGAGCGGAAACCCUCGUUGGUGCGAGGCGAAAUCGAAACGAUGGCAUGCGCGUCGCCACUUGUUUUGGCAUUUAAAUGGAAUAACUUUUCAACCGGAGUCGACCGUGGAUUAUUUUUUUAUUUUAUUCUAUCCUUUACAACUGGGAACGGAGAAAUUUGGAAUGGUGGAAUUGGAAUCUUUUCUCCGCGUUAUAAGUACUUCUAAAAACAAACACAAAUUAAUAUCCAAGCAAUACAGGAAAAAAUAUUUGUCGGGUGAACGACUUAUAUUUGGCAAUCGUCUAUUAAUAUUUUUUAAAUUUUGGUUUACAAAGAAA
Drosophila yakuba is the source of this 11847-nucleotide long non-coding RNA. RefSeq lists it as uncharacterized. Lineage: Eukaryota; Metazoa; Arthropoda; Insecta; Diptera; Drosophilidae. The transcript has 3 exons. The record is from RefSeq and is a predicted model, not a curated record.